AAGUCGUAACAAGGUUUCUGUAGGUGAACCUGCAGAAGGAUCAUUAGUGAAGAUUUGGGCAGGCCAUACGGACGCCACAAAGUGUCCCUGGCCGCCUACACCCACUAUACAUCCACAAACCCGUGUGCACUGUCCUUGGAAAGGGCAUUUGGAGAGAAAAAGAAAGAGAAGCGAGAGCAGUGCGAUCCGUCGCGUUGGGCGUUUUCUCUGACUUGGUCUCUCUGAGGCCCUUUCCUUGCUACAAACUCGAAUGGUUAGUAUGAACGUGGAACUUGGUUGGACCGUCACUGGCCAACAAACUAUACACAACUUUCGACAACGGAUCUCUUGGUUCUCC
RNAcentral lists this unclassified non-coding RNA (337 nucleotides) under Malassezia sp. RNAcentral describes it as "partial internal transcribed spacer region". The stretch from base 1 to 46 matches the Rfam family "Eukaryotic small subunit ribosomal RNA", at positions 1786 to 1831 of the family's 1831-position model. The record is from RNAcentral. Lineage: Eukaryota; Fungi; Basidiomycota; Malasseziomycetes; Malasseziales; Malasseziaceae.